CCGGAAGGUGCGGCUGGAUCACCUCCUUUCUAGGGAGAUCCGAGUCUCGACCUUUUGGUGGGGUCGAGGCGUUGAUGGCUCCUAGGGUUGAUCGCCCGGUCGCUCGAGUCUUCCCCGCCAGGUGGAGCUCGCUGACCCGAACCGCAAGGCUCGUGUCAGAGACCGAUCGCGACCUGGAAAGACACCGAAACCCAUUCGGACAUUCGCGUCCGGAGUUCCUGUCACUCUUCAAGGGUCAAGGUGCAGCUGCCCGUGACGACCUCGGUCGUCAGGUGUCGCUGUCCGCGGCGGGCGUUUAGCUCAGCUGGUUAGAGCACUGCCCUGAUAAGGCAGAGGUCUCUGGUUCGAGUCCAGAAACGCCCACCAUCACCCACCCCACCGGCGCGGGGACGUAGCUCAGUCGGCAGAGCAUCUCCUUUGCAAGGAGAGGGUCAGGAGUUCGAGUCUCCUCGUCUCCACCAGCUCUGACGUCGCGCCGGCACCCUCACCACGAAUACCGAACAGCCACCGAUCCAAGCGGACCCCGCCCAGGCGGGGUCGACGUGGAUCCAACCGAGCAUCAACGAUCCCCUGAUCCGUGCCCUGUCGUCUUCGGCAGGCCACCGACCAGCGGAACGCUGGACGAGGGAACGGCUUCGGCCGGCUCCAUCGGGAGGUCCGUCUUUGGGCGGGCCGCACCUUAACAACUGGAAUGUGUUUCGGCAGAUUGAAGAUCUUCGAUUUCGCCGAGUAGUCAAGGAAAUGAUCUCGAUCGAUCCCGUCCGCGACUGACCACCUGGUCAGAGGCUGGAGGGGUCAAGCUACAAAGGGCACGU
RNAcentral lists this transfer RNA (815 nucleotides) under uncultured bacterium. RNAcentral's name for it is "partial may contain 16S ribosomal RNA, 16S-23S ribosomal RNA intergenic spacer, and 23S ribosomal RNA". The stretch from base 290 to 363 matches the Rfam family "tRNA". The record is from RNAcentral.